This 735-nucleotide ribosomal RNA is filed under the name uncultured bacterium. Its description in RNAcentral is "bacterial SSU rRNA". It matches the Rfam family "Bacterial small subunit ribosomal RNA", at positions 98 to 819 of the family's 1533-position model. The record is from RNAcentral.
GCGGACGGGUGAGUAACACGUGGGUAACCUGCCCCUAAGUGGGGGAUAACAUUUGGAAACAGAUGCUAAUACCGCAUAGAUCCAAGAACCGCAUGGUUCUUGGCUGAAAGAUGGCGUAAGCUAUCGCUUUUGGAUGGACCCGCGGCGUAUUAGCUAGUUGGUGAGGUAAUGGCUCACCAAGGCGAUGAUACGUAGCCGAACUGAGAGGUUGAUCGGCCACAUUGGGACUGAGACACGGCCCAAACUCCUACGGGAGGCAGCAGUAGGGAAUCUUCCACAAUGGACGCAAGUCUGAUGGAGCAACGCCGCGUGAGUGAAGAAGGCUUUCGGGUCGUAAAACUCUGUUGUUGGAGAAGAAUGGUCGGCAGAAUAACUGUUGCCGGCGUGACGGUAUCCAACCAGAAAGCCACGGCUAACUACGUGCCAGCAGCCGCGGUAAUACGUAGGUGGCAAGCGUUAUCCGGAUUUAUUGGGCGUAAAGCGAGCGCAGGCGGUUUUUUAAGUCUGAUGUGAAAGCCCUCGGCUUAACCGAGGAAGCGCAUCGGAAACUGGGAAACUUGAGUGCAGAAGAGGACAGUGGAACUCCAUGUGUAGCGGUGAAAUGCGUAGAUAUAUGGAAGAACACCAGUGGCGAAGGCGGCUGUCUGGUCUGUAACUGACGCUGAGGCUCGAAAGCAUGGGUAGCGAACAGGAUUAGAUACCCUGGUAGUCCAUGCCGUAAACGAUGAAUGCUAG